This 322-nucleotide long non-coding RNA is filed under the name Homo sapiens (human). Its description in RNAcentral is "non-protein coding lnc-SIGLEC10-1:1". The record is from RNAcentral. Lineage: Eukaryota; Metazoa; Chordata; Mammalia; Primates; Hominidae.
CUCUCUGCUGGUGCAGGAGGGCAGUCCCUGCACCUGGUCUGUGAUGCUGACAGCAGCCCUUCUGCCAGCCUGAGCUGGUCCCAGGGCAGCCUGAUCCUGAGCCCCUGCCAACCCUUGCAUCCCCGGGUCCUGGAGCUGCCCCAGGUGGUUUUAGGGGAUGGAAGAGAAUUCACCUGCUGGGCUCAGGCCCUGCUGGGCUCCCACCCCAUCUCCCUGAGCCUGGCUGUGCAGGGUGAGUGUUAGCAGAACACCUGAUUCUGGUGGGGGCGCCUUAGGCAAGGGAAGAGUGGGCUGAGGACACCCCCACCUCUGUCUUCCUUCC